RNAcentral lists this long non-coding RNA (320 nucleotides) under Gallus gallus (chicken). The record is from RNAcentral. Lineage: Eukaryota; Metazoa; Chordata; Aves; Galliformes; Phasianidae.
AGAAAAUUAGGUGACAGUUCAAAAACAACAACAGAAAGAACGGAAAGAACGGAAAGAACCUCCACAAAAACAGAAACAUAGUGCAGAAAAUUAGGUCACAGUUCAAAAACAACAAAAAGAACCGAAAGAACGGACAGAACGGAAAGAACGGAAAGAACCUCCACAGAGACAGAAACAUAGAACAGAAAGUUAGGUGACAGUUCAAAAACAACAACGGAAAGAACGCAAAGAACGCAAAGAACGCAAAGAACGCAAAGAACGCAAAGAACGCAAAGAACGCAAAGAACGCAAAGAACGCAAAGAACGCAAAGAACGCAAAG